UUCGGACAAAAAUCUGUGCUUAGCCAAGUCUCUAAGACCUCUGCUAUUCCAGAAAACACCUUUCAUUUUAUUUUUAUUUUGGAGGGUGUUUUUGGUUUUUUAGGAAGUUUGCCUUUCAUGAUAUUCUUGGCAUUGUUGUAUUUUUUCUUCCUACGGAGUGGAGAGAGAUCUAUUAUUUGAUCACCCUCAUAACAUUUUGCAGGAGUAUGCUGAUGUUUUUCCAAGUG
RNAcentral lists this long non-coding RNA (227 nucleotides) under Sorghum bicolor (sorghum). RNAcentral's name for it is "long non-coding RNA (SBIC_LNC015447)". The record is from RNAcentral. Lineage: Eukaryota; Viridiplantae; Streptophyta; Magnoliopsida; Poales; Poaceae.